Molecule: ribosomal RNA, 253 nt
Filed under: uncultured bacterium
Lineage: Bacteria
Description: partial 16S ribosomal RNA
Rfam family: Bacterial small subunit ribosomal RNA
Source: RNAcentral
UACGUAUGGUGCAAGCGUUAUCCGGAUUUACUGGGUGUAAAGGGAGCGUAGGCGGCGCGUUAAGUCCGAUGUGAAAACCCGAGGCUCAACCACGGGAGUGCAUUGGAAACUGGCGUGCUGGAGUGCCGGAGAGGUAAGCGGAAUUCCUAGUGUAGCGGUGAAAUGCGUAGAUAUUAGGAGGAACACCAGUGGCGAAGGCGGCUUACUGGACGGCAACUGACGCUGAGGCUCGAAAACGUGGGGAGCAAACAGG